RNAcentral lists this ribosomal RNA (433 nucleotides) under uncultured bacterium. Its description in RNAcentral is "partial 16S ribosomal RNA". It matches the Rfam family "Bacterial small subunit ribosomal RNA", at positions 29 to 507 of the family's 1533-position model. The record is from RNAcentral.
AACGAACGCUGGCGGCAUGCCUAACACAUGCAAGUCGAACGAGACCUUCGGGUCUAGUGGCGCACGGGUGCGUAACGCGUGGGAACCUGCCUUUAGGUUCGGAAUAACUCAGAGAAAUUUGAGCUAAUACCGGAUGAUGUCUUCGGACCAAAGAUUUAUCGCCUUUAGAUGGGCCCGCGUUGGAUUAGCUAGUUGGUGGGGUAAAGGCCUACCAAGGCGAAGAUCCAUAGCUGGUCUGAGAGGAUGAUCAGCCACACUGGGAAUGAGACACGGCCCCGACUCCUACGGGAGGCAGCAGGGGGGAAUAUUGGACAAUGGGCGAAAGGCUGAUCCAGCAAUGCCGCGGGAGUGAUGAAGGCCUUAGGGUUGGAAAGCUCUUUUAACCGAGAUGAUAAUGACCGUAUCGGGAGAAUAAGCCCCGGCUAACUCCGUG